RNAcentral lists this ribosomal RNA (274 nucleotides) under uncultured bacterium. Its description in RNAcentral is "partial 16S ribosomal RNA". It matches the Rfam family "Bacterial small subunit ribosomal RNA", at positions 523 to 796 of the family's 1533-position model. The record is from RNAcentral.
AUACGGAGGGUGCAAACGUUACUCGGAAUCACUGGGCGUAAAGCGCGCGCAGGCGGGCUGAUAAGUUGGAUGUGAAAGCCUACGGCUCAACCGUAGAACUGCAUCCAAAACUGUCAGUCUAGAGUCUGGGAGGGGAAGAUGGAAUUAGUUGUGUAGGGGUAAAAUCCGUAGAGAUAACUAGGAAUACCAAAAGCGAAGGCGAUCUUCUGGAACAGUACUGACGCUGAGGCGCGAAAGCGUGGGGAGCAAACAGGAUUAGAAACCCUAGUAGUCC